Molecule: ribosomal RNA, 434 nt
Filed under: uncultured Lachnospiraceae bacterium
Lineage: Bacteria; Bacillati; Bacillota; Clostridia; Lachnospirales; Lachnospiraceae
Description: bacterial SSU rRNA
Rfam family: Bacterial small subunit ribosomal RNA
Source: RNAcentral
ACGGGAGGCAGCAGUGGGGAAUAUUGGACAAUGGGGGGAACCCUGAUCCAGCGACGCCGCGUGAGUGAAGAAGUAUUUCGGUAUGUAAAGCUCUAUCAGCAAGGAAGAAAAUGACGGUACUUGACGAAGAAGCUCCGGCUAAAUACGUGCCAGCAGCCGCGGUAAUACGUAUGGAGCAAGCGUUAUCCGGAUUCACUGGGUGUAAAGGGAGCGUAGACGGCAAAGCAAGUCUGAAGUGAAAUGCCGGGGCUUAACCACGGAACUGCUUUGGAAACUGUUUAGCUAGAGUGCAGGAGAGGUAAGCGGAAUUCCUAGUGUAGCGGUGAAAUGCGUAGAUAUUAGGAGGAACACCAGUGGCGAAGGCGGCUUACUGGACUGUAACUGACGUUGAGGCUCGAAAGCGUGGGGAUCAAACAGGAUUAGAUACCCUGGUA